GAUGAACGCUGGCGGCGUGCCUAAUACAUGCAAGUCGAGCGAACCAACUAGACGCUUGCCCCUUCGACGUUAUCGUCGGACGGGUGAGUCACACGUAGGUAACCUACCUGUAAGACUUGGAUCACUUCGGGGAACCGGAGCUAAUACCGACUACUAUUUCGAAACGCGUGGUUCGAUAGUGAAAGAUGGCUUUGCUAUCACUUAUAGAUGUACCUGCGCCGUAUUAGCUAGUUGGUAAGGUAACGGCUUACCAAGGCAACGAUACGUAGCCGACCUGAGAGGGUGAUCGGCCACACUGGAACUGAGACACGGUCGAGACUCCUACGGGAGGCAGCAGUAGGGACUCUUCCGCAAUGGGCGAAAGGCUGACGGAGCAAAGCCGCGUGAGUGAUGAAGGUGUUCGGAUCGGAAAACUCUGUUAUUAGGGAAGAACAAACGUGUAAGUAACUGUGCACAUCUUGACGGUACCUAAUCAGAAAGCCACGGCUAACUACGUG
Molecule: ribosomal RNA, 497 nt
Filed under: uncultured bacterium
Lineage: Bacteria
Description: partial 16S ribosomal RNA
Rfam family: Bacterial small subunit ribosomal RNA
Source: RNAcentral